Molecule: long non-coding RNA, 1118 nt
Filed under: Sinocyclocheilus grahami
Lineage: Eukaryota; Metazoa; Chordata; Actinopteri; Cypriniformes; Cyprinidae
Description: lncRNA (ENSSGRG00000046065.1)
Source: RNAcentral
AAAAACAACAGACGAGAAAUGUUAUGAAUGUGGAAGUAAGAGGUGGGUGGAUAGACACCUUAGUGACAUUUUAUCAACUCACAAUGUCUAAACUGCAGAUUUUAAGUGUUUUUCUGACAGAGAGAUUAACUUUGGCUGCGCAGGAGAUUUUUAAGUCUGUGGAAGACAUGUUUUCAGAGUAUAAUGAGGAGAUUUGUCGCUCCAGACAGGAGAUUGAGCUGCUCAAGAGGAGACUGCAGCAGGCAGGAGUUCAGAUGGACUCUGAAACGCAGUCUUGCUCCUCUGAGACUCAAGGAAAGAAAUACAUCCAGACAUUUUCAGAGGAAUGGAGAUCUGAACAUGAUUUUAAGGACACUGAGAUGCAUAUGAAACUAGAAGUUUAUACACAGCAGGAGGAGAAUGAAGAGCAAAUGCCUGUAUGCAGUGAAUCGGCAUCUUUAUCACCAUGUAUGGACAAUUAUCAUGAUCAGACGCCCAGCAAAGACACUGAACCCCAAAUGAUGGACAGUAGUGAGAAUAAUUUUCCCUUUAACCAAGGACCACGAAUAAAGACUGAACUUGAGAGUAAUUCUGAAACAAGUACCACCUGUCAAGUACAGCAGCACAUCACAAAACACGGCUUGAAUGAUUCAGGGGCCAGCGAUUCUUCCAGUGAUGCCAACAAAAUCACAUUCAGCCACAUUGGCUCGCCCAGACAUGAGACACAAACAUUUAAUCUACCCGUCAGAAAUCAAGAGAUGUUGACGCAGCAUAGGAUGGAGCUGGCCCAGAUAAGAGAGAGAUUGACAGAUGAAGAGCAAAAGAAGGCUGCAUCUAAAGCUAGAUCCCUAAAGCACAAGCAGAAAGUAUACGGGAAUCCUGAGCUUCGUGAGGCAUACAGGAAAAAGGAGAGAGAGAGAUAUCAAAGACGAAAAUCUCAGGGGAAAGUGAAAUUCGCUAAAGAUCUGAACCCAAUAGAAUUGAGAAGGCAACAGAAAAAGUGGAGGGAGAAUUCAGCCUCUUACAGGAGAAAAAAAUCAUUUCAGGAGGUUUUAGUCAACAUUAAAGAAGACAUUAAUCAAGUCAUCCCAGAGCCAGAGCCGUCCACCUCCUCUGAUCAACAUUAUGGUAUUUUUUAA